This 406-nucleotide ribosomal RNA is filed under the name uncultured bacterium. RNAcentral's name for it is "partial 16S ribosomal RNA". It matches the Rfam family "Bacterial small subunit ribosomal RNA", at positions 30 to 526 of the family's 1533-position model. The record is from RNAcentral.
AUUGAACGCUGGCGGCAGGCCUAACACAUGCAAGUCGAACGAGUGGCGGACGGGUGAGUAAUGUCUGGGAACCCGCCUGAUGGAGGGGGAUAACUCCUGGAAACGGUAGCUAAUACCGCAUACCAUCAGAUGUGCCCAGAUGGGUUUAGCUAGUGGGUGGGGUAACGGCUCACCAAGGCGACGAUCCCUAGCUGGUCUGAGAGGAUGACCAGCAACCUUGGAACUGAAACACGGCCCAGACUCCUACGGAGGGCAGCAGUGGGGAAUAUUGGACAAUGGGCGCAAGCCUGAUGGAGCCAUGCCGCGUGUAUGAAGAAGGCCUUCGGGUUGUAAAGUACUUUCAGCGGGGAGGCGGUACCCGAAGAAGAAGCACCGGCUAACUCCGUGCCAGCAGCCGCGGUAAUUC